Molecule: ribosomal RNA, 253 nt
Filed under: uncultured bacterium
Lineage: Bacteria
Description: partial 16S ribosomal RNA
Rfam family: Bacterial small subunit ribosomal RNA
Source: RNAcentral
UACAGAGGGUGCAAGCGUUGUUCGGAAUUACUGGGCGUAAAGCGCGUGUAGGCGGCGUCGUUAGUCGGAUGUGAAAGCCCUCGGCUCAACCGAGGAAGUGCAUCCGAUACUGCGAUGCUUGAGUAUCGAAGAGGGAAGUGGAAUUUCCGGUGUAGCGGUGAAAUGCGUAGAUAUCGGAAGGAACACCAGUGGCGAAAGCGACUUCCUGGUCGAAUACUGACGUUCAUGUGCGAAAGCGUGGGGAGCAAACAGG